AGCAGCCGCGGUAAUUCCAGCUCCAAUAGCGUAUAUUAAAGUUGUUGUGGUUAAAAAGCUCGUAGUUGAACCUUGGGCCUGGCUGGCCGGUCCGCCUCACCGCGUGCACUGGUCCGGCUGGACCUUUCCUUCUGGGGAGCCCUAUGGCCUUUACUGGCUGUAGGGGGAACCAGGACUUUUACUUUGAAAAAAUUAGAGUGUUCAAAGCAGGCCUUUGCUCGGAUACAUUAGCAUGGAAUAAUAGAAUAGGACGUGUGGUUCUAUUUUGUUGGUUUCUAGGACCGCCGUAAUGAUUAAUAGGGAUGGUCGGGGGCGUCAGUAUUCGGCUGUCAGAGGUGAAAUUCUUGGAUUUGCUGAAGACUAACUACUGCGAAAGCAUUCGCCAAGGAUGUUUUCAUUAAUCAGGGAACGAAAGUUAGGGGAUCGAAGACGAUCAGAUACCGUCGUAGUCUUAACCAUAAACUAUGCCGACUAGGGAUCGGACGAUGUUAACUUUUCUUGACUCG
Molecule: ribosomal RNA, 506 nt
Filed under: uncultured Aspergillus
Lineage: Eukaryota; Fungi; Ascomycota; Eurotiomycetes; Eurotiales; Aspergillaceae
Description: SSU rRNA
Rfam family: Eukaryotic small subunit ribosomal RNA
Source: RNAcentral